Molecule: long non-coding RNA, 655 nt
Organism: Cyprinus carpio carpio
Lineage: Eukaryota; Metazoa; Chordata; Actinopteri; Cypriniformes; Cyprinidae
Source: Ensembl
CUAUGACAUGCAGUACGAAAGUUGUUUGGCUUGAUGAGAUCUAUAUGUGUACCGAGUUUCAUACGUCUACGUGCAAGUAUGUAUGAUAUAUGGCCCUCCAUAUUCCAGGGGGCGCUGUAGAGCCCCUGUGCCACGCCCGUGUAUCAGUCUCUGCCCGGCCCUAAUGGCCGCAGGUUCCAAUGUGUGUGCCAAUUUUCAAGAGUUUUCGAGUAUGUUAAGGGCCCCAAAAGCCCCCGAGACGUUGGAAAAAAAUAAUAAUAAAUAUAGCUGCAAGCAGCGAUGGCGGGCUCAAGCCAUCAGCGCAAACGCCACCCCGGUGGCAUCAGGUAAACUGUGCCCAGCGGGCACAUGCAUUUACAGUAAUCCUCUGGCACUCAGGUUUUAAGGGAUACGGCAAUUAACGGGUUAAUCCGAAGCAUCAAGACUUUGAAAUCACAUACACAGAACAAUAUUCAUUAAGAAAGUGAAAUUAAAUGAUUAAUAAACUAUUUAUUCGAACCCUCACUAUUUUCUAUUCUAAUAAAAGUUUUGGCUGUGGAACAUCUGUAAUAGAGUUGGCUAGCUGGAUGCAAAUAAAGUCAUGCCUUUUAUUUUUUCCCCUGUUUGCUAUUUCACAUUCCUGUCACUGAAGCGUUGUGGGCAAAGACACAGAAGG